AUUCUGGCUCAGGAUGAACGCUAGCGGCAGGCUUAACACAUGCAAGUCGAGGGGCAACGCGAGUAGCAAUACUUGGCGGCGACCGGCGCAAGGGUGCGUAACGCGUGAGCAACAUGCCCGUAUCAGGGGGAUAAUCCAGGGAAACUUUGGUCUAAUACCCCAUAGUAAUUUUUGUAAGGCAUCUUAUAAGAUUUUAAAGCUUUUGGUGGAUACGGAUUGGCUCGCGUGACAUUAGCUGGAUGGUAAGGUAACGGCUUACCAUGGCUAUGAUGUCUAGGGGUUCUGAGAGGAAGGUCCCCCACACUGGAACUGAGACACGGUCCAGACUCCUACGGGAGGCAGCAGUGAGGAAUAUUGGACAAUGGAUGGAAAAUCUGAUCCAGCCAUGCCGCGUGAAGGAAGAAGGUCCUAUGGAUUGUAAACUUCUUUUGUAUGGGAGCAAUAAGGCCUACGUGUAGGUUGAUGAGAGUACCAUACGAAUAAGCACCGGCUAACUCCGUGCCAGCCGCCGC
This 512-nucleotide ribosomal RNA is filed under the name uncultured bacterium. Its description in RNAcentral is "bacterial SSU rRNA". It matches the Rfam family "Bacterial small subunit ribosomal RNA", at positions 16 to 518 of the family's 1533-position model. The record is from RNAcentral.